Syngnathoides biaculeatus (alligator pipefish) is the source of this 1464-nucleotide long non-coding RNA. RefSeq lists it as uncharacterized. Lineage: Eukaryota; Metazoa; Chordata; Actinopteri; Syngnathiformes; Syngnathidae. The record is from RefSeq and is a predicted model, not a curated record. The transcript has 6 exons.
GCCACCUAGGGAAAACAUGCAAACUCCAAUCGGGAAAGCCUGAAAUUCAAACCCAGAACCUCGAACUGUGAGGCAGAUAUGCUACCACCGUUCUAUGUAGGGGGAAAAAGUGAGCCUACAUUUGCCAAAUGAGGUGACACCAUUGUUUUAAUAUUGUGUGGAUGGAAGACUGGGCAUGAUCUGAAAGCCGAAGCAUUUCUAAUCAUUCCCAUGUGCGGCGUAUACAUAAACACAAGCAAAAGGGCUCUGUUAUUGUUAUUGAUGCCGCCACCGCAACUUUUUUUUUUUUAACCAUGAGGCUUCCAUCGCGGAGGACUCUGGCGAGCUGUGAGGCGACGGCUCUUUGAAAAGCAAAAAGAGAGACAGAGGGGAGAGGAGAGGAGAGGAGAGGAGGGAAUCACAGGACGACCACACAGCAAGUGGUUACCCUUAUCCUCAAAAUGCCACGGACGCAAUAGACGCUUUCAAGUCCAAAAGGUCUCUUUGGGUAAUUGAGAAGUUGGCCGGUGACGCGCUCCCGAGAUCCUUGGAGCUCACACUUUGGUCUUUCCCAUUGAAGAUUAGCCAAAAGUCCUAAUUAAGUAGCAGCUCACCAACGCGACUGGCGAGAUGCCCGAACCGAAAGCGAGUGAGACGUUUGCAAAGCCUUCUUAACAGCCCCCCUCGAUCGUCUUUGGCCUCGGUGUAUCAUCUUCAUCCUCUUUAUUUUUUUAGGAUUGACAAACGGGGGAUCUCAGGAGCAGCCACUUGUAGGGCGGAUGGGAAACUUGCCUUUAAAGACGACAAAGGCAUUCUUCCAUUAAAAGUUCUCCAGGUCCAGGUGAUGUAGCAGUUUUCUCAACAUGGAUACACAGACCUCCCCAUCAGCCGCUACCUGCUCUACUUCCUCUGGGAGGACAGGGCAGUUUCCAGAUUACGUCACUCCAGGAGAUCCUCCGUGUGCUCACAGCCUGCUUUUCCACGCCAGAGGCUGCUGAGCCACCAACACUUCACGCUGAUUGCUACCAUGUGACCAAAGCGGGGAUAAAUAACAGGCCGACUCCCACAAAACAGAAGGUAUCCUGAAAGGCUAGUUGGUGGAGUUCAAUUCGUACCCUUUCCAAAACCGAAGACCCAGUACGAAAAAUGUCUUUGAUGGAUCAAACUUUGCGGAAGACCGCAUGAUCAACUGAAUCCAUCAACCGGAACAGAUAUGUUUGCACGAAGAAUGAGUGACUCCAUGUUAAUUGUGUUUACAAAGAGCCCCAACUGCAUAGUACACGAGCGUUGUGAUUACGACAAUGUUAUUAUACUCACUCCGUGUUCCCGGGCAGCCACGGUGACCCGAUACAAGCCAUGACGCCAUUCCAAAUGGACCUGUGACGUGUGGAUCCGCCAGCCACCACCCGGACUUUGGCGUGCCGGAAGCGCCCGACGAUGGCCGCCAUCAGGUCUGUGUUUUCCUUGGCCACGACAACCACAAUG